UUGAAAUAAUCCUGAUAGGUUGUUGCUGGUUCUCUCGGGAGCAUGUGCACACUUGUCAUCUUUAUAUCUCCACCUGUGCACCUUUUGUAAAUCUGAAUAUCUUUCUGAAUGUCUCGCAUAUUCAGGUUUGAGGAUUGAUCUUUUUCUUUCCUUACAUUUUCAGGUUUAUGUUUUUCAUAUACCCCAAGUAUGUUAUAGAAUGUUAUAAACGGGCCCUUUGUGCCCAUAAAUUUAUA
This 236-nucleotide unclassified non-coding RNA is filed under the name uncultured Cortinarius. RNAcentral's name for it is "sequence contains ITS1". Lineage: Eukaryota; Fungi; Basidiomycota; Agaricomycetes; Agaricales; Cortinariaceae. The record is from RNAcentral.